ACACAUCUGUCAUGCAAGAGCUACAGUCUCAGUGGAACUGUGGAACAUUAAUUCCCAUAUGUAGCUCCUGCUUUGGAGGAAGAAUGCUGCCAAGACAUUAAAAUACCCUCUAGGCACCGAAGAGCAGAUUCUACUAGUGGCAUAGUGUGUGUGGGGGCACAGAGGCAAUCUACCUAGGGCGUAGUAUUUUAGGAGGCACAGUCCUCCCUCCGUCCCUACCACCAUGGGCAGCAAUAGGUGCUCUCUGGGUGCGGCCUCCCUGUCUCCUCCCUUCCCUUGCUGGUUCAGCCAUGGCUCAGAGCCCAUUGCCAAGAGGUGCCAUCUGAGGGAGUGGCGUGGCAGAGGCCCAGAGCCCAUGGCCCUGGUACAUGCCCAGAGCACUGCCUGCCCCGGGACUGGUUCGGCACCAGCAAGCGGCACCCAGUCUUCAGGCCUUCCCCCGAGGAACAAUGUCUGACUAGGUCGGAGGGGCAGGCGGUCAGACCCCUGGGCCAGCUGCUCCUGCCUGGGACUGAGGGGAGGGGAGCAAAGGAGGAAGGAGGUGUGGAGCAGGGCUUGCCUUGCCAGCUAGGCAGCCUUACCUCCUGGCUCCUAUGGGGCUACAGCCAGGCCAGACUGUGUUGGAAGAAUGACAGAGGUACUGUGAGCAAGGCCGCCACUUGGUGGUGGGACAGGUGGCAGGGAGACCAGUGCCUGCUUGCUUACCUGCAAAGCAUUGCUGAGCCCAAGGCACACUACAACUUGCGCCUUCCUGUCCAGUGUGCAUCUGGGAGAGUUGGCAGAGGCAGAGUGGUGCCUCCAGCAAUGCCCUUGGCCUCUCUCCUGCCACUGUCUGGUGAGGAGAGGGAGGGAGGGAUCCAGGGGGCCGGCCCACAGCACUCCUUGCCUCCAAGGAGAAGAGAUGCCAGCGAUCAAGGAGGAAAGUGACCAAUGAUGGUGCCCGCAUCCCCCACAAUGGGGUGGAGAGGGGAAGGGAGGAAGCCAGCAUCAGAUGAUGCAC
RNAcentral lists this long non-coding RNA (1000 nucleotides) under Pogona vitticeps (central bearded dragon). Its description in RNAcentral is "lncRNA (ENSPVIG00000021987.1)". The record is from RNAcentral. Lineage: Eukaryota; Metazoa; Chordata; Lepidosauria; Squamata; Agamidae.